UUCUGGUAUUUGCUGGGCAAAAUAUUCCUGAGUCUACAGCUGCAGGCGCUGACUUGACGGCUGCUGACUAUCCUCCACCACCCAAAGUCCAACGGACGGAUGGGAAAAUUCAGAAUCUGAAGAGAGGACUGACGUCUCAUAUAGGCUCAAAAAUUCAAAACGAUGUGACAAACAAUAACCUGAUUGAAAGUCUAACAGAUGAAUACUGGAAUCAAAACCAAGGUUUGGUCAAUCAAUUGGUGCAGAACUGUCUCAGGAAAGAGUAUAUAUGGAGAACAGACACUGGGACACAUGCGACGAUGUCGUUAAAGGAUUACUGGGCGAUUUGACAAUUGAGGAAAGUAAUCUUAGUAUGUACAUGACAUUGGGUGGAUUUUCAACAGACAAUAGACGCCACAGUGAAGGAAGGUUCAAAGAUAUUGUGAAGGA
Molecule: long non-coding RNA, 429 nt
Organism: Macrosteles quadrilineatus (aster leafhopper)
Lineage: Eukaryota; Metazoa; Arthropoda; Insecta; Hemiptera; Cicadellidae
Exons: 3
Source: RefSeq, a predicted model, not a curated record